Molecule: ribosomal RNA, 1062 nt
Filed under: Triticum aestivum (bread wheat)
Lineage: Eukaryota; Viridiplantae; Streptophyta; Magnoliopsida; Poales; Poaceae
Description: partial small subunit ribosomal RNA
Source: RNAcentral
AUGCCGCCGCUGCUCACCCUCUCCUCCUCGCCGGCGCUGCCGCCCCCGGCGCCGCGGAGGGCCCGGUUCAGGGUCGCGGCCUCCGCCGACGUCGGCGCCACCGCCCCCGCCGCCGGCAACGACUUCCCGUCGUUCCUGCCCAGGGCGGUCGAGCGCAUCCGCGACGGCGCCGCCCUCCGCCUCGCCAAGCGAAUCGAGCGCGUGCCCGUCCAGACCGGCUUCUCCAAGAGCCCGAUACCGAGCAGCUGCGUGAGGCCACUCAAGCAGCAGCAGAGCGCCGAUCCGGUCGUGCUGCUCCACGGCUUCGACAGUUCUUGUUUAGAGUGGAGGUACACCUACCCUUUGCUGGAGGAUGCUGGGCUGGAGACUUGGGCUGUGGACAUUCUUGGAUGGGGCUUCUCUAAUUUAGAAACAAGGCCACCGUGUGAUAUUGUGUCUAAGCGCGAGCAUCUUUAUCAGUUCUGGAGGUCCUACAUCAAAAGGCCUAUGGUACUGGUUGGGCCUAGCCUGGGUGCUGCUGUUGCCAUUGAUUUCGCAGUCAACUAUCCGGAAGCGGUAUCAAAAUUAAUCUUCAUCGGUGCAAGUGUAUAUGCUGAGGGCACAAAAGAUAUGACCAGAAUGCCUAAAUUUGUUCCAUAUGCUGGGGUUUUUGUACUAAAGAGUCUUCCUCUACGACUAUUCGCUACACGCUUGGCAUUUUAUAAAAUUCCAGAUGGAUUCUUUGAUUGGGUGCAGAUUGGCCGUCUACACUGCUUGCUUCCUUGGUGGGAAGAUGCUACGGUUAAUUUUAUGAUUACUGGAGGUUAUAAUGUCAUAAACCAAAUAAAGCAGGUAAAGCAAAAAUGCCUGGUCUUAUGGGGAGAGGAUGAUGGAAUUAUUAGCAAUAAGCAAGCAUAUCGGUUACAGCAGGAACUCCCCAGCGCGAUUUUAAGGCAGGUAGGGCAGUGCGGCCACAUUCCCCAUGUUGAGAAGCCGAGGGAGGCGGCAAAGCAUGUGCUCGACUUCCUCGGGGGCGAUGGCGUGGACAAGGCGGACCAGGCUUCUUCCCUGUCAUCAACAUGA